RNAcentral lists this ribosomal RNA (301 nucleotides) under uncultured bacterium. Its description in RNAcentral is "partial 16S ribosomal RNA". It matches the Rfam family "Bacterial small subunit ribosomal RNA", at positions 509 to 807 of the family's 1533-position model. The record is from RNAcentral.
CAGUCGCCGCGGUAAUACGUAGGUGGCAAGCGUUGUCCGGAAUUAUUGGGCGUAAAGGGCUCGCAGGCGGUUUCUUAAGUCUGAUGUGAAGGCCCCCGGCUCAACCGGGGAGGGUCAUUGGAAACUGGGAAACUUGAGUGCAGAAGAGGAGAGUGGAAUUCCACGUGUAGCGGUGAAAUGCGUAGAGAUGUGGAGGAACACCAGUGGCGAAGGCGACUCUCUGGUCUGUAACUGACGCUGAGGAGCGAAAGCGUGGGGAGCGAACAGGAUUAGAUACCCCGGUAGUCCCUGUCUCUUAUAC